UUAAAUUGAAGAGUUUGAUCAUGGCUCAGAUUGAACGCUGGCGGCAGGCCUAACACAUGCAAGUCGAACGGUAACAGGAAGCAGCUUGCUGCUUCGCUGACGAGUGGCGGACGGGUGAGUAAUGUCUGGGAAACUG
This 136-nucleotide ribosomal RNA is filed under the name Escherichia coli. Its description in RNAcentral is "partial 16S ribosomal RNA". It matches the Rfam family "Bacterial small subunit ribosomal RNA", at positions 1 to 127 of the family's 1533-position model. Lineage: Bacteria; Pseudomonadati; Pseudomonadota; Gammaproteobacteria; Enterobacterales; Enterobacteriaceae. The record is from RNAcentral. RNAcentral also lists the same sequence under 20 other names.